UUAUCAUUAUAUCCAAAGACUCAUCUACAACCUCUUAUACUAAAAAGAUCCCAAAGGAUUUGGGCUUCACAACUGACUUUUUGUUUGCUUGGGUUCUCAUUUCUAUUGUUUUGCUUUUAGUUAUUUUUUUUAUAUCUUUGAAAGUUUCCAUGCCCUGCUAGAGAACUUGUUUUUCCGGGAACUUAUACUCUAUAUUAAAGGAGUCUAUGGACAUUUAGAAGAGCAACAGUUGUCCAAAUUUAUCAUUUGCCAUGGAAAAAUCUAUUAAUUACAAUUUUUGUUGUAUAAAAAAAAAUUUACUGCCACCUAUUGUUUACUAAAUAUUACGUGGUAGGAGUUCUUAAUAGGUAUAACAAGGAAAAACAAUAGAUCAUAGAAAACGAGCAAAAAAAUUUUAAAAAUACUUGAAGAAAAAGAAACUAAUAAAAUACGUUCUUCUCACAGCCACCCGAGUUUCAUACUCUUGCUCUGUCUUUUUUUUCUUUUUUUUCCAAAUUAUCUUUCCCUGUUUCUCUUUAUUUUGCUCUCUUUUUUUCACUACUUCUUUCGAUUUUUCUCUAAUAAACCUAUGGAAAAAGAAAAUGAGACGACCAGCUUUUGUCGUACAAUCUUGCCAUUCUAAUAUUUGAGUCUAACUCUCUUUCAAGCAUUUUCUUUUAUAGGUUUUUGGGUUUUUCAAUGUUUCUUUUUUGUGUUUCUCAUUGCAUACAGAACUAAGAUUUCUAUUAGUUCUAUAAAAAAAUUUUCUUUUGUUGAUUUUUUUAUAUUUUAAAGGGCAUGUGCCUUUCCCCAUUUUUCUUCUUCUUUUCCUUUUUUUAUCUAUCUUAUCUCCCAUGUAAUAUGAGUUUUGAUCCUUUGAUUUUGGAUACAAGUUUUGACCGUUUGUUUGUAAUGAAUUUAUAGAUUAGCAGCUUUAUUUUUAGUUUUUAGUCGAAACUUUUAGAAAUUAUAACCAAGAACUUCCUCACUUCUCAUUCUCCUCACUUGCAACCAAUUCCUUCCCUCACAAAUUUCAAAACCCCAAACCCCCCAUUUUGUCCUUUUUUCAUAGUCAGGUGGCUUUAUUAAUCAAAAACUCUCUUUCUUUAUUUUGCUAAAAAACCAAUUUGCCACUAACCCAUAAGUGUUUUUUUUUUUCCCAAUUUGAUGGUUCAGCUAGUGAAGAAACAGAGGGGAUAAACGAACCUUUCUUCGAUGAUUUAGUGAAGAAAGAGGAGGGCGACGAAGAUGACAAAAAAGAAAGCAGUGUUGAUUUGUUGAUGAGAUUCUUACAAAGCACGUUUAGGAAUGUCACGAAGCAUGCCCAAUAUGGCCCUAGUUGGAAUAGGUAUUAACAAUGAUUGUUCAAGGAUCCCACCACUGGUGAAUUCCAUGAGCUCGUUUGAAAUCUGGAGACUGACUCAAAUUGAUAGUGAGAUAGGCUGAAGGAAGCAGA
This is a non-coding RNA of Durio zibethinus, 1435 nucleotides long. The record is from RefSeq and is a predicted model, not a curated record. Lineage: Eukaryota; Viridiplantae; Streptophyta; Magnoliopsida; Malvales; Malvaceae.